GACAAACGCUGGCGGCGUGCCUAAUACAUGCAAGUAGAACGCACAGUUUAUACCGUAGCUUGCUACACCAUAGACUGUGAGUUGCGAACGGGUGAGUAACGCGUAGGUAGCCUGCCUGGUAGCGGGGGAUAACUAUUGGAAACGAUAGCUAAUACCGCAUAAUAUUAAUUAUUGCAUGAUAAUUAAUUGAAAGGUGCAAUUGCACCACUACCAGAUGGACCUGCGUUGUAUUAGCUAGUAGGUGAGGUAACGGCUCACCUAGGCGACGAUACAUAGCCGACCUGAGAGGGUGAUCGGCCACACUGGGACUGAGACACGGCCCAGACUCCUACGGGAGGCAGCAGUAGGGAAUCUUCGGCAAUGGACGAAAGUCUGACCGAGCAACGCCGCGUGAGUGAAGAAGGUUUUUGGAUCGUAAAGCUCUGUUGUAAGAGAAGAACGGGUGUGAGAGUGGAAAGUUCACACUGUGACGGUAUCUUACCAGAAAGGGACGGCUAACUACGUG
Molecule: ribosomal RNA, 505 nt
Filed under: uncultured bacterium
Lineage: Bacteria
Description: partial 16S ribosomal RNA
Rfam family: Bacterial small subunit ribosomal RNA
Source: RNAcentral